This 454-nucleotide ribosomal RNA is filed under the name uncultured bacterium. RNAcentral describes it as "partial 16S ribosomal RNA". It matches the Rfam family "Bacterial small subunit ribosomal RNA", at positions 28 to 507 of the family's 1533-position model. The record is from RNAcentral.
GAUGAACGCUGACAGAAUGCUUAACACAUGCAAGUCAACUUGAACUUCGGUUUGGGUGGCGGACGGGUGAGUCACGCGUAAAGAACUUGCCUCACAGCUAGGGACAACAUUUGGAAACGAAUGCUAAUACCUGAUAUUAUGAUUUUAGGGCAUCCUAGAAUUAUGAAAGCUAUAUGCGCUGUGAGAGAGCUUUGCGUCCCAUUAGCUAGUUGGAGAGGUAACGGCUCACCAAGGCGAUGAUGGGUAGCCGGCCUGAGAGGGUGAACGGCCACAAGGGGACUGAGACACGGCCCUUACUCCUACGGGAGGAAGCAGUGGGGAAUAUUGGACAAUGGACCAAGAGUCUGAUCCAGCAAUUCUGUGUGCACGAUGAAGUUUUUCGGAAUGUAAAGUGCUUUCAGUUGGGAAGAAAAAAAUGACGGUACCAACAGAAGAAGUGACGGCUAAAUACGUG